Molecule: long non-coding RNA, 542 nt
Organism: Fukomys damarensis (Damara mole-rat)
Lineage: Eukaryota; Metazoa; Chordata; Mammalia; Rodentia; Bathyergidae
Exons: 3
Source: RefSeq, a predicted model, not a curated record
CUUGCCGAGGUCGGCCUCGUGUGUGGAAGUCAUGGCUGUUCCCGUGCGUGCAGAACCCGGCCUUCUUUUGGCAUCUGCAAAGACGAUGAGCUUAAAAGUAAUGGACGUAGACAUAGAAGGUCCCCAAGGAAGCAGACAUGGUGUAAUGAUCUGGCUUAUAUUUUGUUCUGAAGUUUAACUGCACGUAUGCAUGCUGUUCUAAGUCCAUUUAGGAUUGAAGGUGCUGGCUGUGGACUUUGAAGGAAGUCGUGUGAAAACUCAUCAUCUUAAGAUGCUGAGCCGAAGGAUCUUCAUGAUAAAACUUCUGUGAAUGGUAAGAUUUUUAGCCAUUUCAUAGGAUUGCAUAGAUUAUGGUCCCCCUUGAGUAAUGGUUUGUGAGAUUUGGGGAUGCGGGAGUCCCCCCCCUAAGUUUAUUGGUACAUUUUACGUAUACAAUACAGUUACAUUCGUCAUUGUCAUUGGGAUGUUGUGCCAUUAACGUGACAUCUUGGUUCUUAUUUUUUCUCCAUCCCCCUUCCCUCCCUUCACUCCCGCCCCCCCGU